AGCAGAGUGGCGCAGCGGACGCGGCGGGCCCAUAACCUAGAAGACGAUGGAUCGAAACCAUCCUCUGCUA
This is a non-coding RNA of Ameiurus melas (black bullhead), 70 nucleotides long. Lineage: Eukaryota; Metazoa; Chordata; Actinopteri; Siluriformes; Ictaluridae. The record is from the annotation of a GenBank genome assembly.